RNAcentral lists this ribosomal RNA (468 nucleotides) under uncultured bacterium. Its description in RNAcentral is "partial 16S ribosomal RNA". It matches the Rfam family "Bacterial small subunit ribosomal RNA", at positions 28 to 507 of the family's 1533-position model. The record is from RNAcentral.
GACGAACGCUGGCGGCGUGCUUAACACAUGCAAGUCGAACGGAAAGGCCCUGCUUUUGUGGGGUGCUCGAGUGGCGAACGGGUGAGUAACACGUGAGUAACCUGCCCUUGACUUUGGGAUAACUUCAGGAAACUGGGGCUAAUACCGGCUAGGAGCUCCUGCUGCAUGGUGGGGGUUGGAAAGUUUCGGCGGUUGGGGAUGGACUCGCGGCUUAUCAGCUUGGUGGUGGGGUAGUGGCUUACCAAGGCUUUGACGGGUAGCCGGCCUGAGAGGGUGACCGGCCACAUUGGGACUGAGAUACGGCCCAGACUCCUACGGGAGGCAGCAGUGGGGAAUAUUGCACAAUGGGCGGAAGCCUGAUGCAGCAACGCCGCGUGCGGGAUGACGGCCUUCGGGUUGUAAACCGCUUUCGCCUGUGACGAAGCGUGAGUGACGGUAAUGGGUAAAGAAGCACCGGCUAACUACGUG